AACGAACGCUGGCGGCAUGCCUAACACAUGCAAGUCGAACGAGACCUUCGGGUCUAGUGGCGCAUGGGUGCGUAACGCGUGGGAACCUGCCCUUAGGUUCGGAAUAACUCCCCGAAAGGGGUGCUAAUACCGGAUAAUGUCUUCGGACCAAAGAUUUAUCGCCUUUGGAUGGGCCCGCGUUGGAUUAGCUAGUUGGUAGGGUAAAAGCCUACCAAGGCGACGAUCCAUAGCUGGUCUGAGAGGAUGAUCAGCCACACUGGGACUGAGACACGGCCCAGACUCCUACGGGAGGCAGCAGUGGGGAAUAUUGGACAAUGGGCGAAAGCCCGAUCCAGCAAUGCCGCGUGAGUGAUGAAGGCCUUAGGGUUGUAAAGCUCUUUUACCCGGGAUGAUAAUGACAGUACCGGGAGAAUAAGCUCCGGCUAACUCCGUG
This 433-nucleotide ribosomal RNA is filed under the name uncultured bacterium. Its description in RNAcentral is "partial 16S ribosomal RNA". It matches the Rfam family "Bacterial small subunit ribosomal RNA", at positions 29 to 507 of the family's 1533-position model. The record is from RNAcentral.